GACUCCGUAGCUCAGUUGGAUAGAGCAGGUGCCUUCUAAGCAUCAGGUCGGGUGUUCGAGCCACCCCGGAGUCGCCA
Molecule: transfer RNA, 77 nt
Filed under: Bdellovibrionales bacterium RIFOXYC1_FULL_54_43
Lineage: Bacteria; Pseudomonadati; Bdellovibrionota; Bdellovibrionia; Bdellovibrionales
Also listed under: 3 other names
Description: tRNA-Arg
Rfam family: tRNA
About the family: Transfer RNA (tRNA) molecules are approximately 80 nucleotides in length. Their secondary structure includes four short double-helical elements and three loops (D, anti-codon, and T loops).
Source: RNAcentral